GAGACAUUGGGACCAUUUAAGUGACUUCAGUGUUACUGCGUGUGCAUAUGUGAUCUCAUCUGAACCCUCCAAUAGCCCCAUGAGGAAGUUUUCCCAAUCUACAGACGCGGAAACCGGACCUUGGACCACAUGAGUGUUGGAAGUCCUGGGGAAUCGGUGGUAGAGUCUGGAAGAGGAGACCCAGCCACCCCUUCCUUCCCUCAACACGCCCGCUGCCUCCCCCUCAUACCACUGGCCCUGAGGUUGAGAAAGGCCACACUUUCACCAGGUCACACAGGCAUUGCCAGUUUGGACUCCAACCUGCUCCUGUUUAGAAUAUUUCAGAAGAAAACUAUGAAAAACAACAGGCCAACAGGGAUGAAGGGCUUAGUAUGGAAUUUCAGAAUUACCAGCCUAUCCCCCUCACCUUCCAGGCUCAGCUAACCCUAUGGCCUCACAAGAACCUCGCUUGAUGUCUCCUAUACCUCCCCUCAGCUCUCCCCCCAUCGGCCUUGGUGCCUCUGCAGGCUGGAAUGGCCUCCUCCUUCUCAUUUACUAGAAGCAUGCUCAUCUUCCAGCAAGUCCUCCAGGACUGCAGGGUCUCCCCUUGGCUAAGCUCCUGAAUUAAGUCAGCAUGUUCACAGCUACGGGGCAUGGUUGCAUUAUCCAUCUAUGGUGUGGGGUUUGUCUCACUAAGCAUCUUGAGAGGACAGGCUAUGUCUGCUACAUCCCUGUGCCCACCCAUGGAGCAAGAUACCGCACCGUUCCCAGAGAAGUGGAAGCAUCAACAGCCGCAUCAGCAUAGAUUUAAUGGAGACUCAUACCUCGGAUCCCCUUUGAAGCCCAUAACGGCCCCAUGGGGAGGUUUUCCCAUUCUACCAGUGUGACCACUGGCCCGGAGAGGCUAAGGGGUUCUCCCAAGGCCAUGUAGGUAGAAGUGACAGCACCAUUCCCAGGCCAGAAUCUUGCUCUCAGCCACCAUGAGAAGCAGGUGCUCAACAAAUAUUUAUUGGCUUUUUCUUCUUCUUCUUCUGCCUCUUAAAAUGUUAGCAGAGUACCAUCAAGAGAUCCUCAUCGACUCUGUUCGGAACAGAAGAAUCACCUAGCAAAGCCCCUCCCUCAUUCCUGACCCACAGAAUCAUUAGACACAAUAAAAUGGUUGUUGACAUAGGCCACUAAGUUCGGAGUAGUUUGCUAGACAGCAACGGGAAGCUGGGACACCCUUACGAGGUCUCAAAGAGCAUCUUCCUCAGAGAUGGCAUUUCGCCCUUUUUGGUAAGCGUAUCAGGGCGUAUCAGGCAGAGUUUGUGUUGAAUGCCCUCCCAGCUCCCCGUAGGUGCCCUGUCCCAAUAUCCAGUGCUUCUCAAGGUCCUCUGCCACACCCAAAGUUUCCCCCAAAGCCCUCCUGCCCCCAACAUGCCUCAAACCUCAGAAUACUUCCCAGCCUCCCUGCCAUCCUUCCACUCACCU
This 1449-nucleotide long non-coding RNA is filed under the name Zalophus californianus (California sea lion). RNAcentral's name for it is "lncRNA (ENSZCAG00015020861.1)". The record is from RNAcentral. Lineage: Eukaryota; Metazoa; Chordata; Mammalia; Carnivora; Otariidae.